GUUUCAAUUAAUUAAUAUUAAUAAUAGGUUUAUUUGAGGAGUUGGACGGUCGCCGCGAUCGAGUUAAGGCGUGCUCUGUGUCGCUCUUCGGGUCUCGUCGAGGUUUUAGUGGGGAAAAGGUUUCAAAGGUGAGAAAGUUAUAUAUCAGUGGAUAGAACUAAUCGAGAGGAUUCCAGUAAUGUCUUAGCUUGUUAAAUCGGUUGAGUUUUCGAGGAGUUACGAGCGUUUUUCGGUUUUUUACCGUUUGUUAGAAAAAACACGUGGCGCUAGGCCUAGCGCUAAGCCUAACUUCUUGAACUUUGAGUCUUUUGUUUUAAGUUUUAUAUCGUUGGAUUCCUCUCAUCGAGUGGAAUCUAACGCCGUCUUUUUUUGGAUCUAGCUUAACUAGAUCCGUUUUUAUUAAGGUUUAAAUUUUCAAACUUCUUUGUUUAGUUUUUUUUUUUUAGUUUUUCAAAAAUUUUACGUGGUGACCUCCCAUUUUUUCGACGGAUUUAGACGUGGCUCCUCGUACUCGAUCGAUCGGUACUACAUUUACGCUUUUCCGAUCAGUAGUUUUUUCAAAAAUCGCGAUUUAAAACAUUUCUUGGGCUAUUUUUCGACAUUUUUUUCUUACACCGAGAUCGGUAUCAAUCGACGUAGAAUAACAUUUUACAUCGUUUUCUAUACAUUUUAUAGUAUUUUAAAAAUUUAUUUUGUUAAUUAUUAUCGAUUUUUCGGCACAAUGCCACAAAACACAACAGACACUAUCACAAACAAUCAAUCUGACAAUAAUACCGCAGUCGACAUUAGGGAUGUCGACUGCGGUAUUAUUGCACUUUGAUAAUUGCGUUUCGAACUGCAAUUAUCAAAGUGAAAGAGUUUUUGAAUGAAAGUCAUACUUUUAGCCGAGUGCUGAAGAAACAAUCAUUUAAAGAACUGGACUCGGCCUCUAACAUAUUCGAAGAUCUUCUAGAGGAAUUAUAUAUUCAACAAGAGCAAAAUGAUAGAUUACAGCAAAAAAUUAAGAACCUUGAACAGAAUAAUGCAACCGCUGUAGUACAAACACAAAAACCUACGUAUUCCUAAAUUGUGGCAAGAACCGCUACCUAGCAAGGCUGACAAUGCGGUCUUAGUAUAUCCCUCUAGUGAUAGUGAAAACGUCGAUCCUCAUAAGUUACUUCAGCAAUUACAAAAGGAUGUUAAUCUAAAAGAGAUCAAAGUGGGAAUUAGAAAUACCAAACCCGUCAAAUCUGGCAUUCUAGUGAACUGUUGUACUCAGGAGGGAGCAGAGAGGUUAAAAUCAACUUUAACAACAAUCACAAACUAUGAGGUAAAACAACCGAGAAAACUAAGACCGAAAAUCAUGAUCUCUAGAAUACCUAUUGCUGACAAACCCGAAGAUAUAAUUAACACUCUUCAAUUGUUCAAGACACACCUGGAAGAGGAUACAUUUGAGCAUCCUAAUUUUCAUCUUCGUUUUGUUCUAAGUAAAAAUAAUAAUUAUAACACUUGCACUUGGGUAGUGGAGCUUUCUGCUCGUGCAAGAUAUGAAGUUAAACAAAAUAAUGACCUUCUCUGCCUUGGAUGGCAGACAGUUAAAACAAGAGACUUCCAUAGCUUUAAACGAC
This 1607-nucleotide long non-coding RNA is filed under the name Androctonus crassicauda. The record is from RNAcentral. Lineage: Eukaryota; Metazoa; Arthropoda; Arachnida; Scorpiones; Buthidae.